AUUGAACGCUGGCGGCAUGCUUUACACAUGCAAGUCGAACGGCGGCGCGGGCUUUGGCCUGGCGGCGAGUGGCGAACGGGUGAGUAAUACAUCGGAACGUGCCCAGUAGUGGGGGAUAGCUCGGCGAAAGCCGGAUUAAUACCGCAUACGACCUGAGGGUGAAAGCGGGGGAUCUUCGGACCUCGCGCUAUUGGAGCGGCCGAUGGCAGAUUAGCUAGUUGGUGGGGUAAAGGCCUACCAAGGCGACGAUCUGUAGCUGGUCUGAGAGGACGACCAGCCACACUGGGACUGAGACACGGCCCAGACUCCUACGGGAGGCAGCAGUGGGGAAUUUUGGACAAUGGGCGAAAGCCUGAUCCAGCAAUGCCGCGUGUGUGAUGAAGGCCUUCGGGUUGUAAAGCACUUUUGGCGGGAACGAAAAGGACUGUGCCAAUACCACGGUUCGAUGACGGUACCCGCAGAAUAAGCACCGGCUAACUACGUG
Molecule: ribosomal RNA, 484 nt
Filed under: uncultured bacterium
Lineage: Bacteria
Description: partial 16S ribosomal RNA
Rfam family: Bacterial small subunit ribosomal RNA
Source: RNAcentral